GAAGAUGCGGAGUUCCCGCGGUCAGACGGAAAGACCCCGUGCACCUUUACUACAGCUUCGCAGUGGCAUUAGUGGCGAUAUGUGUAGGAUAGGCGGGAGGCUUUGAAACCAGAGCGCCAGUUCUGGUGGAGCCGUCCUUGAAAUACCGCCCUUAUCCUCAUUGAUGUCUAACCGCGGUCCGUGAACCCGGAUCCGGGACCCUGCGUGGUGGGUAGUUUGACUGGGGCGGUCGCCUCC
RNAcentral lists this ribosomal RNA (237 nucleotides) under Astrosyne radiata. RNAcentral's name for it is "partial Bacterial large subunit ribosomal RNA". It matches the Rfam family "Bacterial large subunit ribosomal RNA", at positions 2055 to 2290 of the family's 2925-position model. The record is from RNAcentral. Lineage: Eukaryota; Bacillariophyta; Fragilariophyceae; Cyclophorales; Cyclophoraceae.